UUUAAUUGAAGAGUUUGAUCAUGGCUCAGAUUGAACGCUGGCGGCAGGCCUAACACAUGCAAGUCGAGCGGUAACAGAGAGUAGCUUGCUACUCUGCUGACGAGCGGCGGACGGGUGAGUAAUGCUUGGGAAUAUGCCUUAUGGUGGGGGACAACAGUUGGAAACGACUGCUAAUACCGCAUGA
Molecule: ribosomal RNA, 184 nt
Filed under: Pseudoalteromonas lipolytica
Lineage: Bacteria; Pseudomonadati; Pseudomonadota; Gammaproteobacteria; Alteromonadales; Pseudoalteromonadaceae
Description: partial 16S ribosomal RNA
Rfam family: Bacterial small subunit ribosomal RNA
Source: RNAcentral